UAUAUUAUCUAUGGUAAAAACUAAUGUUCCUUAUGAGGCAAAUGAGGCUUAUAAUUAGCUUGCAACUAUAGAAGAAGCAUAUGGAUAAUAAACAUACCAUCAACUUGGUCAGUUGGUAAUUGUUGAACGUCUACCAAACCAUAAAUCUCCAAUGCAUUGAGAAUAGGUGAAAGAGUUGAAUUCUCCAUGACAUUUAUCGAAAAUGACACAUUUUCAUGCACAGGAAAAAUAGGCUGAAUAGUAUGUGGUGACAAGUAGUUAUCAA
This 265-nucleotide unclassified non-coding RNA is filed under the name Hevea brasiliensis (rubber tree). The record is from RNAcentral. Lineage: Eukaryota; Viridiplantae; Streptophyta; Magnoliopsida; Malpighiales; Euphorbiaceae.